AGCUCCAAUAGCGUAUAUUAAAGUUGUUGCGGUUAAAAGCUCGUAGUUGGAUUUCUGUUGAGGUCGGCCGGUGUACACCUCGUGUAUUAUUGUGUUCGGUCUCGACAUCCUCUUGGGGAACGUUUCUAUCCUUUAUUGGACUGGACGGGAUUCAAGACUUUUACUUUGAGGAAAUUAGAGUGUUCACGGCAAGCAAGUGCUUUGAAUACAUUAGCAUGGAAUAAUAAUAUAGGACCUUCGUUCUAUUUUGUUGGUUUCUAGAACUUAGGUAAUGAUUUAAUAGGGACAAUUGGGGGCAUUCGUAUUAACGCGUCAGAGGUGGAAGUUCUU
This 330-nucleotide ribosomal RNA is filed under the name uncultured eukaryote. Its description in RNAcentral is "SSU rRNA". It matches the Rfam family "Eukaryotic small subunit ribosomal RNA", at positions 587 to 921 of the family's 1831-position model. The record is from RNAcentral.